UGUAACACCCCUAAGUUCGGUAGUGCGUUCUACUGUUCCGAUGACCAGUGUUGUCCGGACAGCUAGGAUGCCUAGAACUAUACUUCGUUAUGAGUGAAGAGACAUAAAAUAAUAAAAUACAAGAUAAGAAAAUACAAGAAAAACAAAGGAAAAAUAAUAGCAAAGAAAUGUAACCAAGUAAAGCGAGCCGAGAACCCUAGCGAUGGGUGACCGCACCGGGAAGUCACGGCGUGGACCGUUGACUAGCCCUGGACUGCGAGGAACCCUGGAAAAUAUUUUUAGUACUUAAAUAGACCCCUAUUGAAGUAUAAAUACCAUUAGAAAUAUCAAAGAAAAAUUAAUUAAUUAGUACAAAGAAAAACGGGAAAUCGAGAAAACGACAAAAAUCGGUGUUACCGAAAAAUUUGAAAUGCAAACCGAAAAGGGGCAUUUUGAUCAUUUGACACCUAGAGUGGACUUUUGACCUAAAUGUCCAUGAAAAAUAAGUGGUAUUACAUUUUGAAAAUUUAAUGAAAAAUGAAAUUGAAGAUAAAAUGUAAUUUAAGGAAAGUUGAGGGCAAAAGUGCAAUUAAAAGAAAUCUUAAAUUAAACCAAUUUUUAAUUAACUUAAUGGGGCACCACGUGGGACAUUUAGUGGCCAUAUAAAGCCACCUUUGGACAGCACAAUCUGCAUCUUCUUCUUCAUUUUUUUCAUUAGCCGUAUUGCUCUCCCAUAGAAACCUCCAUUGAUGUCCCUAAACCAAGCUCCAUGCAUCCAUUUUCAAGCCAUUUUCCACAUGAUUUCCUUCAUUAAAUUUAGUCUACACAGCUUGGGAAGUGUUAUGGCAGCAAAAAGAAGCACGAUUGGUGAGGUUUUAGCAAGCUCUAACAAGAGUUAGUAAAGACUCAGGGAAAGGGAAGGAAACACUGAGUCCAGACCAGGAGACAGUCAUCAGAGGUAAGAAGAGCAUAGAGCAGUAAGUAAAUUUCCUUGAAGAUAUAUUCAGAUCAGCUCCAGGUAUAUCAUAGUUGUACAGGAAUAGACAAUAUUGUGAAAAGAUAUGGAAGAGAAGAAUGAGACAAUAGAACAGUCUGUGAUGGCAGAAGAACAAGUUGAGGCCCCAGCUCCACAAAGUGUCGAAGGUCUGACUGUACCAGUUUUACCGGUACAAAUUACUGCACAAAUGGCCCAACAAAUGGCCACUUUCUUUCAACAACUGGCUAAUAAUCACACCAAGCCCAAGUAUGCACCCAACCCCACAAGCGGUGUGAAAUGGAAAAAGGAGAAACCUAUGGGUCGAGCUCGAGCAGUAAUUUGAGAAAGAGAAAAGAAUUUGAGGAACCCGAGCUCGAGGAUACGAUAGAGAUGGAUCAUUAAGACAGAAACCACUAAGGUCCAGUCAUCGAACAACUAGAAGUUCCUACCCUCCCCGCCAAUGUGAAACUUGUGGAAGAUAUCAUGGUGGGAUAUGCUAUAAGGCCUUUGGAGCCUGCUACAAUUGUGGAAAACUUGGACACUUUGCUAAAGAUUGUACUAAACCACCUCGAUCUGCUCUCUGGAGUUCACAGACCGUCAGUCAGAGUCAAGAUAGAAAUAGAGUUGGUACUCCUCACCACUAUAACACAGUGAAUCAACCCGAAUAUAGUAGCGCACCAGUCAGAGCGUCCACUAUGCGCCAAGGAGAAAGAGCAGAAACUUGGAUGUAGGCUG
Molecule: long non-coding RNA, 1690 nt
Organism: Hevea brasiliensis (rubber tree)
Lineage: Eukaryota; Viridiplantae; Streptophyta; Magnoliopsida; Malpighiales; Euphorbiaceae
Exons: 4
Source: RefSeq, a predicted model, not a curated record